GUGGGGAAUAUUGGACAAUGGGCGCAAGCCUGAUCCAGCCAUGCCGCGUGUGUGAAGAAGGCCUUCGGGUUGUAAAGCACUUUUGUCCGGGAAGAAAACCCUGGGGCUAAUACCCACGGGGAAUGACGGUACCGGAAGAAUAAGCACCGGCUAACUUCGUGCCAGCAGCCGCGGUAAUACGAAGGGUGCAAGCGUUACUCGGAAUUACUGGGCGUAAAGCGUGCGUAGGCGGUUUGUUAAGUCAGAUGUGAAAGCCCCGGGCUCAACCUGGGAACUGCAUUUGAUACUGGCGAGCUAGAGUACGGUAGAGGGUGGUGGAAUUCCCGGUGUAGCGGUGAAAUGCGUAGAGAUCGGGAGGAACAUCUGUGGCGAAGGCGGCCACCUGGACCAGUACUGACGCUGAGGCACGAAAGCGUGGGGAGCAAACAGGAUUAGAUACCCUGGUAGUCC
RNAcentral lists this ribosomal RNA (450 nucleotides) under uncultured bacterium. RNAcentral's name for it is "bacterial SSU rRNA". It matches the Rfam family "Bacterial small subunit ribosomal RNA", at positions 354 to 796 of the family's 1533-position model. The record is from RNAcentral.